Non-coding RNA from Peromyscus maniculatus bairdii (prairie deer mouse), 329 nucleotides. NCBI's taxonomy places the organism in Eukaryota, Metazoa, Chordata, Mammalia, Rodentia, Cricetidae. The record is from RefSeq and is a predicted model, not a curated record.
ACCCUGCAGGGAGGGAAGCACCGGCGCCUGCUCCACUGGAGCCCCAGCCUGUCCCCACCCAGCAAUCUGAGGGGUACGGAGCGUCACGGGCUCAGAGAGGACGUCAACGCAACGGACGGCUGGACAAACGCCCUAGGUCUGAAAAGUCCCCACCAAGUGCUACUGAACCCAAUCUGGAGCACCUAGAGUGCCAGGCACCAUUCUGCCCUCCAGGAAGAUGAAACUACACAGGGCGCCUUUCGCUGCCAUGGUCCACUAGGCGCCAGCUAGCUACCCCACCAUGCACCGCGUGAGAUGUCCCGGAGGGUAGCCCAGAGCAUGCUGGGAGA